This 679-nucleotide ribosomal RNA is filed under the name Escherichia coli O157:H7 str. 1044. Its description in RNAcentral is "SSU rRNA". It matches the Rfam family "Bacterial small subunit ribosomal RNA", at positions 854 to 1533 of the family's 1533-position model. The record is from RNAcentral. Lineage: Bacteria; Pseudomonadati; Pseudomonadota; Gammaproteobacteria; Enterobacterales; Enterobacteriaceae.
AACGCGUUAAGUCGACCGCCUGGGGAGUACGGCCGCAAGGUUAAAACUCAAAUGAAUUGACGGGGGCCCGCACAAGCGGUGGAGCAUGUGGUUUAAUUCGAUGCAACGCGAAGAACCUUACCUGGUCUUGACAUCCACAGAACUUUCCAGAGAUGGAUUGGUGCCUUCGGGAACUGUGAGACAGGUGCUGCAUGGCUGUCGUCAGCUCGUGUUGUGAAAUGUUGGGUUAAGUCCCGCAACGAGCGCAACCCUUAUCCUUUGUUGCCAGCGGUCCGGCCGGGAACUCAAAGGAGACUGCCAGUGAUAAACUGGAGGAAGGUGGGGAUGACGUCAAGUCAUCAUGGCCCUUACGACCAGGGCUACACACGUGCUACAAUGGCGCAUACAAAGAGAAGCGACCUCGCGAGAGCAAGCGGACCUCAUAAAGUGCGUCGUAGUCCGGAUUGGAGUCUGCAACUCGACUCCAUGAAGUCGGAAUCGCUAGUAAUCGUGGAUCAGAAUGCCACGGUGAAUACGUUCCCGGGCCUUGUACACACCGCCCGUCACACCAUGGGAGUGAGUUGCAAAAGAAGUAGGUAGCUUAACCUUCGGGAGGGCGCUUACCACUUUGUGAUUCAUGACUGGGGUGAAGUCGUAACAAGGUAACCGUAGGGGAACCUGCGGUUGGAUCACCUCCUUA